GACGGAGGGUGCAAGCGUUGCUCGGAAUUACUGGGCGUAAAGAGCGUGUAGGCGGCCGAUUAAGUCAGUUGUGAAAGCCCUCGGCUCAACCGAGGAAGUGCGACCGAAACUGAUCGGCUGGAGUACGGUAGAGGGAGGCGGAAUUCCCGGUGUAGAGGUGAAAUUUGUAGAUAUCGGGAGGAACACCAGUGGCGAAGGCGGUCUCCUGGACCGAUACUGACGCUGAGACGCGAAAGCGUGGGGAG
Molecule: ribosomal RNA, 245 nt
Filed under: uncultured Myxococcales bacterium
Lineage: Bacteria; Pseudomonadati; Myxococcota; Myxococcia; Myxococcales
Description: partial 16S ribosomal RNA
Rfam family: Bacterial small subunit ribosomal RNA
Source: RNAcentral